AAUUCUCAACCCUUCUCACUUUUGUGCUGAAGGGAUUGGACUUGGAGGCUUUGCCGGCUUUUGCUUCGGCUCCUCUCAAAUGCAUUAGUACGUCUCGUUGCGAUGUGCGCCUCGGUGUGAUAAUUAUCUACGCUGUGUGUGUGCUUGCUUCUUAUUGGGAUGUGCUUCAAACCGUCCGAGAGGACAACAUUCAUCGAA
RNAcentral lists this unclassified non-coding RNA (198 nucleotides) under uncultured fungus. RNAcentral's name for it is "sequence contains ITS2". Lineage: Eukaryota; Fungi. The record is from RNAcentral.